This 464-nucleotide ribosomal RNA is filed under the name uncultured bacterium. RNAcentral describes it as "partial 16S ribosomal RNA". It matches the Rfam family "Bacterial small subunit ribosomal RNA", at positions 339 to 795 of the family's 1533-position model. The record is from RNAcentral.
CUACGGGGGGCUCCAGUGGGGAAUAUUGGACAAUGGGGGAAACCCUGAUCCAGCAAUGCCGCGUGUGUGAAGAAGGCCUGCGGGUUGUAAAGCACUUUCGGUUGGGAGGACUGCUUCUAGCACUAAUAUUGUUGGAAGUUGACGUUACCUUCAGAAGAAGCACCGGCUAACUCCGUGCCAGCAGCCGCGGUAAUACGGAGGGUGCAAGCGUUAAUCGGAAUUACUGGGCGUAAAGCGCGCGUAGGCGGCUAGAUCAGUCGGGUGUGAAAGCCCCGGGCUUAACCUGGGAACUGCAUCCGAACUGUCUAGCUUGAGUACAGGAGAGGAGAGUGGAAUUCCACAUGUAGCGGUGAAAUGCGUAGAUAUGUGGAGGAACACCAAUGGCGAAGGCAGCUCUCUGGCCUGAUACUGACGCUGAGGUGCGAAAGCGCGGGGAGCAAACAGGAUUAGAUACCCCAGUAGUC